Molecule: ribosomal RNA, 775 nt
Filed under: uncultured bacterium
Lineage: Bacteria
Description: bacterial SSU rRNA
Rfam family: Bacterial small subunit ribosomal RNA
Source: RNAcentral
AGAGUUUGAUCCUGGCUCAGAACGUACGCUGGCGGCACGCCUAACACAUGCAAGUCGAACGAAGUAGCAAUACUUAGUGGCAGACGGGUGAGUAACAUGUGGGUAUCUACCCUUUGGCCUGGAAUAACACGAGGAAACUUGUGCUAAUACCGGAUAAGUCUUUACGGAGAAAGCUUUAUGCACCAUUGGAUGAGCCCGCACUUGAUUAGUUUGUUGGUAGGGUAAUGGCCUACCAAGACUAUGAUCAAUAGCUGAUUUGAGAGGAUGAUCAGCCACAUUGGGACUGAGACACGGCCCAAACUCCUACGGGAGGCAGCAGUGGGGAAUCUUGCACAAUGGAGGAAACUCUGAUGCAGCGAUGCCGCGUGAGUGAAGAAGGCCUUUGGGUUGUAAAGCUCUUUCGUCGGGGAAGAAAAUGACUGUACCCGAAUAAGAAGGUCCGGCUAACUUCGUGCCAGCAGCCGCGGUAAUACGAAGGGACCUAGCGUAGUUCGGAAUUACUGGGCUUAAAGAGUUCGUAGGUGGUUGAAAAAGUUGGUGGUGAAAUCCCAGAGCUUAACUCUGGAACUGCCAUCAAAACUUUUCAGCUAGAGUAUGAUAGAGGAAAGCAGAAUUUCUAGUGUAGAGGUGAAAUUCGUAGAUAUUAGAAAGAAUACCAACUGCGAAGGCAGCUUUCUGGAUCAUUACUGACACUGAGGAACGAAAGCAUGGGUAGCGAAGAGGAUUAGAUACCCUCGUAGUCCAUGCCGUAAACGAUGUGUGUUAGACGUUGGAA